ACGCCGUGAUAACUUGCAAAGUUUUUUU
RNAcentral lists this small RNA (28 nucleotides) under Bombyx mori (domestic silkworm). RNAcentral describes it as "ovarian small RNA-11492". The record is from RNAcentral. Lineage: Eukaryota; Metazoa; Arthropoda; Insecta; Lepidoptera; Bombycidae.